CAUGCGUCCUGUCCGGCCGGCCCUAUAUACGGCAGGCCACCAGGAAGAGGUGAAGCGGAGAGAGUGAGAUCGAUCGAUCGACCCAUCGCAGCGAGAUGGAUGAGGAGUACGACGUGAUCGUGCUGGGGACGGGGCUCAAGGAAUGCAUCAUCAGCGGCCUCCUCUCCGUCGACGGCCUCAAGGUUCUCCACAUGGAUAGGAACGACUACUACGGAGGGGAGUCUUCAUCCCUCAAUCUCAUCAAGCUCUGGAAGAGAUUCAAAGGCAACGACACCCCUCCUGAGCAUCUGGGCAUCAGCAAAGAAUACAAUGUUGACAUGAUACCCAAGGUUUGCCGGCCGCCACCUGAAAUCUGUCACUCCGCGCCCUUCUGGUAUUCUGCAGAUCCAAAUUAAAUAAGCUCUGAAUCUGCAGUUCAUGAUGGCAAACGGCGCCCUGGUUCGUGUCCUGAUCCACACGAGCGUCACAAAGUAUCUCAACUUCAAGGCCGUUGACGGCAGCUUCGUCUACAACAAUGGGAAGAUCCACAAAGUCCCCGCAACGGAUGUCGAAGCCUUGAAGUCCAACCUGAUGGGCCUCUUCGAGAAGCGCCGGGCGAGGAAGUUCUUCAUUUACGUGCAGGAUUACGAGGAGGACGACGCAAAGUCGCACGAGGGCCUGGAUUUGACCAAGGUUACCACAAGAGAAGUCAUCUCCAAAUAUGGAUUGGAGGAUGAUACGGUUGACUUUAUCGGGCAUGCAUUAGCGCUUCAUCGGGAUGACAGCUAUCUGGAUGAGCCUGCAAUCGACACUGUCAAGCGAAUGAAGCUUUAUGCAGAAUCGCUGGCUCGCUUCCAAGGUGGGUCCCCAUACAUCUACCCUCUAUAUGGUUUAGGAGAACUCCCUCAGGCCUUUGCCCGUCUGAGCGCUGUUUAUGGUGGCACUUACAUGCUGAACAAGCCAGAAUGCAAGGUUGAGUUUGAUGAGAGCGGUAAAGCAUAUGGUGUGACUUCUGAAGGAGAGACUGCGAAGUGCAAGAAGGUCGUCUGUGAUCCCUCGUACUUGCCUGAAAAGGUGAAGAAGGUUGGAAGGGUGGCGCGUGCGAUAUGCAUCAUGAAGCACCCGAUCCCCGACACCAAGGAUUCACACUCCGUGCAGAUCAUCCUCCCAAAGAAACAGCUAAAGCGCAAAUCAGACAUGUACGUGUUCUGUUGCUCUUACGCUCACAAUGUUGCGCCGAAAGGCAAGUUCAUCGCUUUCGUGUCGACUGAAGCUGAGACUGACAAGCCCGAGAUCGAGCUGAAACCCGGGAUCGAUCUGCUCGGCCCUGUGGAGGAGACAUUCUUCGACAUCUAUGACAGAUACGAACCCAUCAACAAUCCUGAGGAGGAUAGUUGCUUCUUGACAAAUAGCUACGACGCUAGCACUCAUUUUGAGACAACGGUGAAGGAUGUCCUCGCCUUGUACAACAAGAUCACUGGAAAGGAGCUUGAUCUCUCAGUGGAUUUGAACGCCGCGAGUGCUGCUGAGCAAGAAGCUGCUUGAACAUCCUCUACUUCUGCAGCUCUGCCAUAGCCACUUCUUCCAAUUUUUUUUCAAAUGAUUUCUGUAGAUGGAUAUGUUUCAUGAGAUCCAUUUUUGUCAUGCUUUUGGGGUUUCCAUUUGUCACUCCUAAUGAACCACGGAUUUAUAAAUAUGACAUUAUUCACUGG
This is an RNA transcript of Panicum virgatum (switchgrass), 1691 nucleotides long. It is a transcript of the gene named guanosine nucleotide diphosphate dissociation inhibitor At5g09550-like, with no coding region annotated. The transcript has 11 exons. The record is from RefSeq and is a predicted model, not a curated record. Lineage: Eukaryota; Viridiplantae; Streptophyta; Magnoliopsida; Poales; Poaceae.